Biomphalaria pfeifferi is the source of this 269-nucleotide non-coding RNA. Lineage: Eukaryota; Metazoa; Mollusca; Gastropoda; Planorbidae. The record is from the annotation of a GenBank genome assembly.
GUUAGCUACUAGAGCUAAACAGGUACAAAGAGGCCAAACGGUUAAGUUUGCAUCAUUUGAACGAUAAAACUCAAGUUUAUUCCCAUGUAACCUUAUUUCAAUUUUAUUUCUGGUUAUUUUAGUGCAGCAUGUACUUCUGCUCUAGUUUAGUCUUUAUUUAUUAAAGACUUGUUAUUUAUUGAUGUCAUUUUUAAACAGAUCUAUUUGUUCUUCAGAUCACUUUACUAUUGUUCAGACACACUUUCAAGAUCCCUAUUGUUUUUUUUUUU